AAAAGAUCUUUAAGAGAUACGAUCGCUUUAGUGAGAAGGAUCGAGCUAGCUUGUUCUGAGAGAAGGGGUGGUAGGGUUCGUCGGCUCGCGAGCGUACGUACGUGCGUAAAAGACACGCGGCAUAUGUCGACGUAUGAGUGUCACAGUCUCCUCCGUCCACGAAUCUCACGCGUGUCUACAAAAUAUGUCAAUUUUAAAGCCAACGAGGAAAAGAUGAUUCAGGCCCAUUCCCAAUUCACAUUCUUUCUUUCUCCUCAUCAUUACACACACAUCACACUUAUGUUUUGACUUUCUAUACUUCUUUUCUUGUUUUAUUCGAUCAGUUUGUAUUCCUUUCAGCAUCGAAUAUACUGUUACAUUUUAAAGA
This is a non-coding RNA of Camelina sativa (false flax), 367 nucleotides long. The record is from RefSeq and is a predicted model, not a curated record. NCBI's taxonomy places the organism in Eukaryota, Viridiplantae, Streptophyta, Magnoliopsida, Brassicales, Brassicaceae.